UACGAAGGGGGCUAGCGUUGUUCGGAAUUACUGGGCGUAAAGCGCACGUAGGCGGAUGUGCCAGUCAGGGGUGAAAUCCCUAGGCUCAACCUCGGAACUGCCUCCUAUACAGCACGUCUCGAGUCCGGAAGAGGUGAGUGGAAUUCCUAGUGUAGAGGUGAAAUUCGUAGAUAUUAGGAAGAACACCAGUGGCGAAGGCUGCUCACUGGUCCGGUACUGGCGCUGAGGUGCGAAAGCGUGUGGAGCAAACAGU
RNAcentral lists this ribosomal RNA (253 nucleotides) under uncultured bacterium. RNAcentral describes it as "partial 16S ribosomal RNA". It matches the Rfam family "Bacterial small subunit ribosomal RNA", at positions 524 to 776 of the family's 1533-position model. The record is from RNAcentral.